GGCACACAAGCUGCUGGACCUCUACAGGAGCAGAUCUACCAAAGAAGAAACACAGACAUCUGGACGUGGAGAGGAGCACAUCAGUGGAGGAACACACAGGUGGCUGGAUGUCAAGAGGAGCACAUCAGCAGGGCCUGGGAUGCGGACAGGCCACGGAGCAGCAGACGGAGAGGCUGAGUUUUGGCUGGGGCAGUCAGAGGACAGCCCGGGCCAAGGAGCAGCCUGACUCCAGGGAAAAAACCGUCUCCCUUCUGGCUCCCCCAUAUGCUGAGAGCUACGUCCACUCAAUAAAACUUUGCACUCGUUCUCCAAGACCACGUGUGAUCCGAUUCUUCCAGUACACCAAGGCCCCCCAGCAAUAACUUAGGAGAGAAUGUGAGAGAUCAGACAGCAAAAGAGGACCAUGUGGAUUACUGUAAAAUGUUAUCAUCCAGAAAAACCUAAAGGGUAAAGUUAUCCAAGAGGGAUGCGGUCCCUGCACCUCUGCCUCUCUUCCGUCCCAGCUGAAGCAGAUUGCAUUUGUGAGUAGCAUAUUUACCCAAAACAGAUUCAAUCAUGAGGUUCACUGCUGAUGAGGACGGAAAUGUCUCUAUUUUCAUAAAUGUGAAUUGGGGAUUCUCAGUAGAAGAGGUGUUGGCCAGACCGGCAUGCUGCUUUCAGGGAUAUCGGCCGCAAGAAAUCAACGCAGGGGGCCGUGGCUGUGGGGAACUCUUGUGGAUUCAGAACAGGAGGCUGAGGUUCCUGGGUCUGGGGUGAAUGUCCCAACACACUUUUCUUGCCAACCCUAAUCCCUAACUAGUUAAGGGCAGAUCCCAAGGAAUGUUUUCCACUGUGACUCCUCCUUGGCAGUUGAAGAUGAAACUGUGAUGUUUCCAAUUGCAGCCCUAUUCUUUAGAAAGCUUUCUCCUUGAAGUUCAUUUCUUCUCAACCAAAGCCCAGGUUCUCUCCUGAAAAUGAUGAAGGCUUUGGAAAGUCCCUUUCCUUCUCUGGGUGCUUAUUUCCCAUUUCUAAGGUGAGGAUGGGAGCCUGGGGAAUGUGCUCGUGCUAUGUCUUUGAAACCAACAGUACAAAGGGUUGGAGGCUGUAUAAGAGUAUGGUUAGAUAGAAGGUUGGUUAUGGUGUCUGUAUCCUCCAGAGUUGCAGAAGGAAUACAUGAUAUGAUCAACACAGCUUUUAAUUAAAUAGAUUUUUAAGGAAAGACACAGAUGUGUCACAGAUGAGUCACAGACUCUAUUCCAUUUAAGGUAAAUUUAAAGACCGAAAGAUGCAGGUGGAGCUAAGGAAAUAAUAGACGGCAAAACAACCAGAGAGUAGUGACAGUGGGAAGCUGUUCCUACUCUUGGUCUGAAGGGAGGAUAGAAGGGUCAUGUCACCAGUACUGGUGACAGUUGUAGCUGCGUUAGAGAAACUGCCCAGAGAAACCUCGAGGGAACAUGUGGAUACACAGAUUCCCCCUCCUUUCUGCUAUCUGCUCAUCUCCCAUGGGCUCCUCCCAUCUUCUCAUCUGCGGUGCUACAUCUUGUUAUUUACAGCCAACCAAAAGCUGGAAGGCAAGGGGGUGCACCUGAGGCAGUUCAUGGAGAUCAGCCUCUCUGGACAAAAAACAAGAUGGGGAAGGUUCAGGUCUAUCCGAGAGGCAAUGAAAGUAUCACCAGCACAGUAGGAUGGCUGCUGGAAGAAAUCAGCCCUGAGGUACCACUGCUCAAAUGCAAUAGAAGUCUAUUUCUUCCUCAGAUAAUUGUCCAGAAUUGGUUUUCCUGGUUGGUGGGUGCCUCUACUCCACUCAGGAACUCAGGGACUCAGGACGGCUCCAGCUGGUGACUUCCCCUCCUCCUGGGGCAUCGUCUGUGUUGGCAUCCCAUCUUCAGAAGGGAAAAAGGGCAUAAAGACACAUCUGUGUCAGGUUUCUUAAGAGCCAUGCCUGAAAUUGGCAAGAAUCAUUCACAUUCACAUUUGUUUAAAGACAAUUUGGUUACAUAUUCACAUCACACUACAAGGGAUUCAGUACAAUGAAGAGGAGUUUUGUGCCCCUGAAAGGGAAAGCAGAAUUCUGUUAACACGUAGCAUCUGGGAGAGAAUUCUGCAGAAUCCAGAAUUCUAAGUUUUCUAGAAGAUCAUUUUUCUAGCAUCUUGGAGCAGGAACUCUGUGAGUGAGGUUCAAUAUCACUGAACCCCACCUUCACCCCAAUAUAGUAAGAGGGAAACCUGUAGUAAGAGAAAAAUCACUCUGAAGUGAUUUUAGGGUAAAGCCCCUGACACGUGUGAGCGACAUUCUCAGAGUGAUGUCUCCACUCUGCAGUGACACACUCAUGUUUAUCUCACACCUGCCUCCGUCAGGGUUCAUGUCUUCCUUUCUCCUCACUGUGGUCCUGUGGGUUAGUUCUGUAUUGAGCAUCACAAGUUAACUUCACCCAUAAUCUAUCCCAGCCACAGGGACCCCAGCUGCCACAAUCCAGUGUCCCCUGGAUAAGCAUUAAGUCUUGGGACUGAAUACAGGUUGUAAUUUCCUCUAGUUCACAAUCAAAAAAAAGAACUGCAGAUGUAAAGAUUUCUGCACGAAGCCCUCAUUCUGUGUCAGGUAUCACAUAACCAGUCUCCUUAAGUAUCCAACCUUGAGAGAUCGAUAAGCAUUGACCUGAUGACGCAUUAUCCCUUGAAACCAUCAUAGAUGUUUUUGAUAUGUGCUUUUGGUUGUUGCUCAAUAAUUUAUUUGAAUGAGCGCCCAUUUAUUUUCAGAAAAUUACUUUUGGCUUCCUGAAAGAGGUGUAUGCAUGAAGAACAGCAACAAGCCAUACUAGUCCUUGUUCACGCGUCUGGUUGUGUUUUUCCCAGUGUUCUCUGCAAUGAGUCUCAGACCAUCACAGAAGCUGCGAUAUUAGCAGGGGAAUAACCAUCAGACCAGACCACAAAGACAAAAGUUGGGUUUCAGUGCAUGAUAUUCUCUCUACGUUAGCCAUAAUGAUUUGAACUAGCGCAUACCCUUGUCAUUCGUAAGCAAUGUUCUACGAUAUUCUAAAUUCCCUAAAUUUGCAUAAAUUGUGGCAUGCAAUUCCAACCUCAGUUGCAGUAAAUAUAACUGGAAAAUGUCGUUGAACCCUAUAGACCCUAAAUUGUUUUAUAAAUAUAGAACCAAAGUAAUUUAUUAAGCUAUUUUCUGGCUAAGAAUCAGCAUUUUGUAUUCACUGGCACUGCAAGCAUUAACAGUUGGCUCGCACUUCAGGGUCAUUUUCUGCAAAGAAAUCAAGUCUUCAUACUUUCACCACAAUUUGUGCUUAAGCAGUGAGGAGGAUGAAAGCUGCACAAUCCCACCGAGAGGCUAGCUCAGCAACUCUCAACUGGCAUCAGUCUCCCAGCCCUGAGCAAAAGUAUAGAUUGUUCCAAGGAUCCAGAUCUUUGGGCAGGCCCAGCCCCAAUAUUUUGCCCAAUUCACUCUGUGUGGGUGCUAGUGUUCUCUGAAAAGUGGUUUUUAGCUCCCACUGUAAGUCCUGCGCCUUUCUGUAUCAGGAAUUUUACCACAUGUGUCUAUUUAUACAUCCGAGUCUUGCUAUAGACUUUUAGCUCCUUGACCAGGCACUGUGACUCAGAAAUUACACAGCCAUUGGAUACUUUCCUGGAAGAAUAUCCUUGAGAAUUCUGUAGAGAUAUUUUGUCAACUUUCGCAGUAUCAAGCAGCAGGUGCCAGAGCUGAGAUUUGCUCCUGGACUGAUUCCAAAGCUGCAGACUGAUAAUGCAUCUUCAAACCAAAAGGAAGAGGGUUUCAUGACCCUCUGAGGAUGGGCAUACGGUUUCCACCUAACCUUAGGAUGAUUGUAGGAUGUCACUUCUCUCAGGGGCUGUGCAAAUUCAAUCUCAAGAAAUUGUUGAGAUCCUUUUGGGCUACAAGCAGGAAUAAGGCACUGUAUCGGCCAUGGAGUGGCUGGACCUAAUGAAAAUCCUAUUUCAUAUUUAGGCAAAAUAAUUUCUACAUGACUUUUCCUAUCUUCUUUCUCCAGCAUCUGCUAUCACCUCAUACUGCUCCAGUUGUGUUUCUGGAUUCACUCCACAAUUCUCACUUCUUUCAGUAUUAUUUGCUGGCAAGUGUUAAACAGCCUGUAUGGGCCAGAGGAGAGGAGGGAGCCUAAAUUUGCAGUGUUUGCUGACUUGGAGCUAAAAUAUUUGUCCAAGCAUUUCAAGGACAAGAGCAAAAGCGUGGAAGGUGGAUCAAAAUUAUGUGAAGAGACAAACAUCAAGAUUACAGAAAGAAGUGCCAAUAACAUUAGCUAUGAGCGAUAGAAUAGAAGAUGAGAUUGCAGUAACUGGAGAAGGCAUUAGUGGUGGGCUCAGUGUGCUACGGUCAGAGCAAGGAAGGAGGGGGCGUGGCUGGACACAGUACUUCUACUCCUGUGGCCUAAGCUUGUGUUGCCUUCUGGUAGUGGUUUCCUGAACCUGCUAGUUUAUGUUCAGGCAAAGCCACUGCUGAUAAAGAAAAUACAGUCAAUGAAGACAAUCCAUGGUGGUGAGACGUACACAUUUUUGGAAUAACUUUUUUAUUUUGAUUUUAAACAAGCAAACAAAAACAAGCACCAGUCACAUCAAAAGCAGGUCUGUGCAUUUUGCACUGGGGAGGAAAAAAAAAAUCCCAAUCCCGAAUAUAGUUUUCUAAAACUUACUCUUCAUGGAAGCUUCAAGACGUUCCUUUCUCAAGAAACAAAACGAAACAAAACAUCAAAGCUUCACUAAGACUAAAAACCAAAACACCAGGAGAAAUGCAAGUGUCAAGUUGAAGAAAGCACCUUAAGGAAAUUUGUGAAAGUGAAGCAACUAAUUACUGUUUCCCUCUGGGCAGAGUUUAUAAUAGCACGGAAAAAAGUGGCCAAAUGUUAUGUGGAAAUGCUUAUAAAUAACUCAGGACUUCACAGACUCUGUGACCUUAGGAAUGCAUUACCACCUGUGAUAUAUGCCCCUGGGACAAAAGUCUUGUGGUCAGGCGUGGGCAGAUAAGUGCUGGGAAGACAGUCCCUCAUGCGCACAGCCCAAGAGUUGCACCAAAUUGUGUGGCCUAAAAUCUCAUUAUCUAUACUUCUGUUGAAGUUUGCUAAGAAGUUUGAUUGCCAAGAACCUUCCCUUAAGUACUCCAGGAGGAACUUUUCAUUGACACUAUUGUUAGGGAACACCCUAGCACACUGGUUCUCUACCAUGAAUGCACAUUUCGAAUCUCCUGGGGAACUAUGCAGAAAAGUCCAGUGGGCAUCUGGACUUCCUCCUCAAGAUUUCUGGAUUAAGCUGGGAAGUCCUAAUAGGUCUUGGGUAAAACCUGGACAAGGACGGUUUUUGAAAGCCAAACGGGAUGGAGCUGUUGAAAAGCAGAGUAUCAUAGGAUCAGUUCCUCUGGAAUAACUUAUGAAGAACGCUUUGCAUUCUCCAGCAUUGAUGUGAUUUUAAAAUCAGGGUGAGUGCGACACCAGCUGAAGCAAGAGAAUAUUUAUAUUGUGGCCACAUGAGGGACCCCCGCGUCACAAUUCUCUGCUGACAACUGCGUAUUACAAUAAUUCGCCUUCCUAAAUGCUCUGCAUUCUCUACUUUCACAAUCACAGGUGAGACGAGGGAUAUCAGAUUGGUUUCACUUGUCAUGUCAUCCCUAAUAGAUGGGUGGUGAUUGCCUGAGUGCUGUGUUGCAAAACAAUCAGAGGCUGCAUCUGAAAACAGCAGUAAAAGCUACCUGAUCAAUUAGUGAUGUCUGCCAAGGGUGCUUGGAAUGAGGAAUGGCAAUGCACAGGACAGACUUUGCUAGCUUUGCAUAACUCAACAGAAGCAGAGCACUGUCUUCAGGUGACCUUAUGCAUCUCCACGUGUAUAGUACAGAGAGUGCCCUCUCCCAUCAGAAUAGUAGGAUGUAUUAGGUUUACUUAUAUAACUAGUCAAUACCUUAGGAGGUCUUUUCAGCUUAGUAUUGGAUACGUUUUUUUGCUUUUGGUUUGUUUGUUUUAUCUGCCUUUCCUAAAACACAAUAGGCAUAGAAAGCACUGAUUGUAAGAGGCUUAUAGUUUCACUGGAGAAAGUCUAUAUGCAAGCGACAACUAAUAAGCACGGUAUUAUUUAUUGUGACAGAAUUGUGUGCUGAUAUAAUAAAGACAAUAAAGAGAGUAAAUUCUUAAUGGCGUGGUCUGAGGAACAAACACUAAUUCUAUAGUCCACCAGAUACCGCUUUGACCAAGGGGAUAUUGGAGGCAAAUGGGUACAUUCACAUUCUGAGCAGAGCUGGUUUCUCUCACAAAUGAUCACAACACAACACAGCACAACCCAACACAGCACAACAUGAGCCUCAUCAGCCUAUUAUUCUUUAAUCAAUUCAACGGUAAUUUGUCCAACUUCUCAUUAACUUUCUUUUCUCCUAGGCAAGUGUUCCAGCUUCUUAGCUUUAUAUAAAGAACAAGGAUCCAGGCAUCCGACAGACCUGUCAGACCUCAGCUCUGCCACUUAACUUUGUGGCCUCCAGACAGUCUCUGAUGCCUACAAAUCCCUGUUGCCACCUACAAGGUGGAUAUAACAAAACCUCCCUUGCAGGAAUAUUUUAAGAUUUAAGAAGAUAUGUCAACAAUCUGGUGCCUAAUAGGGUUUCAUUAAAUGGCAAGAUAUUAUUUCCUCAAUUAUAAAGUGACAUUGAUUUUAAGAUGUACUCUUGGAUUAAUAGAAAGUUUCCCGGGCUGGGGGGAAACAUCCCUUCCUUAUAAUGUACCUCGCAUUGUAAUGUGAGUCUGAAUUUUACCGACUGUAACAUGUGAAGUGCGUGUGAGCCUAGCUGCAGCGGUAUGUUGCCAGAUCCAGCACGUACAGCCAGAACAAGCAGAGGAGCAGCAGCAAAUGGUCCUCCAGAGCCCACCACGUGCCAGGAACUGCCAUCAAACAUUUAAUUCUCGCAGGAACCCAACCAGGUUGGUCAUAUCAGCCACACACGUUACAGACAAGGCCACUGACGCACUACUAUGAGAGUAAACUGGCUAAGCCCUCAUAGCCAGAACGUGGCAGAGCCUGAAUUUCAGCUGGGCAUCCUGACUCUCAAAGCCAUGCCCUCAGCACCGUGCUGGGCUCCUCAGGGCUGCCUGCUGGAAAGUGUCCAGACCUGUGAGUGGAGGAACCCUGAAGGCUGGCAGGGAGGGGACAUGGAAGCAGAAUCAAGAGGGAAGCGGACUCACCAUGGAGAGAGGCUGCCUGCAGGCCACGGGAAGCACCUACAAGGCAGCUGGACGCUGAGGCUGGAAGCCUAGGGAGUCAGCAGACAGGAGGCAGGAGUGAGGCGCAUGAGGAAAAGCAGUUCUGGGAAAACGCAGGACACCACCCACACGUGCAGGUCAUGGGGUCUGAUGUUUUCUGUCAAGAGGGAAGUGGACAUGGGUAGGCUGUCAUUUUCCUGCUUGGAACAGACUUUGAAUCUGGUUCCCUGUUUCUUCUGAGGCCAUGCCCGCAUACCUCAAGACCAAGAGAACAGUUGGAGUAUGUUAUGGGUUAAACUGCAUCCCCUCCCAAAAUUCAUAUACUGAAGUCCUGACCCCAAGUACCUCAGGAAUAAAUCCUGCUGGCACCUUAACUUCACAUAUCUGGCCUCCAGAAUUGUGAGAAUGUUGUGUAAGCUGCCCAGUUUGUGUUAUUUUGUUACUAAUCCGGGAUAUAUGAUGAACACCUGGUUAUCUAUAGGCUGAUUAGUCCAUUUGGCAUAUUUGAAAGAAGAAAGUAUCUUCCAGAGUCUAUGUAUUUCAUAUAUGACAAUUUGUUUUUUAAAAAAAGCUCAUUGUGAAAAAGUGUAUUGGCACAUUCUUGUAUUUUCCAUGUCAGAAUUCAUUUAUACACUUACUUCUACACCAACAACUAGAGAUAUGACUUUGGACAUUGGUAUCAACAAAGGAACAUUGUGUAAACAUAUACCUGCUCAUUGUUCUCUGUGAACUUACUCCAGAGAUUUACAGGUUCAUCAUGAUGGACUGUUACGGAAGCCAGAACAUGUAGACAGGGGGUCAAUAUAUUUUGUUAAAGGUAACAAUAUAGUUGCAUAACCAGGGGCUAUGAGAACACCAGAACAGUAUAACUAACCCAGCCAGUAGGACUUGAGGAGAGCUUCCCAAAAGAGCUGGCUCCUGAGAGGAGCAGUACGCUAUGCACCUCAAAAUUCAGUUUAACAGACGUUCAUCGACUGUCUUUCCUCCUUCUUUUCUUCAUCGCAAAAUGAACCUUCCCACACCUAAGUAUGCAUCACCAUCACCUGAAGGACUUGUAGAACCAUGAACUCCUGGGCCCCACCUCAGCAUGUCUGAUCUGGCACAUCUGGAGUGGCCCCAAGAAUCUGCAUUUCUAGCAGUGCUGGUGCUGCAGGUCCAAGGCCCUCACCCUGAGAUCCACUCAGUAAACAUUUAUGAGCAUCAACCUGAAACCAGGUAUCUGUCCUCAGGGAUGCAGAAUGAAUAAAACAUAGUUCUGCCUUCAUGAGAAUAAUGGAUAUCAAAUCAAUCAACCCCUUUAUAAUGCAGUAGCAUUCUCGAAUCUCUGUUUCUUCAUGGAAAAAAGUAAAAUACGCAGUGCAUGAUAAGAGCUAUUUCUCCAACACCAUCGUCCAUGCCUACAGAGGAAGGGUUUUUCAGAAAUGGUGAUGUCACACGUCUAUUCUUUUGCCCUCUAUUUGUACACUUCAGUGUUGUAGUCUGGUGAAAACAAAGUCUGGCCUGCAAAGGAAAGAAUUUAUAGAUGUGGAAGUUUGGAUUGACAGAUCUUGCUAACAUAAACACGCUGGAACUUUGUUUUUCUCCCCACUUCCCUUUAUUGAAGGGCAGUAUUUACAGUAAGUAGCAUGGGUCUGCCUCUUAGAUACCCACAAAGCAGCAAAGAAUGAUCUGAUGUGCUUUCUUGAAGGCUGUCAGGAUUGGAUAAUCAGUUCUUUAUCUCCUGUGACACAUGUCGAAAAGACAUGAGAACCAGAUGAACACAGCAGUGAACUCUAUCAGAAAGACACCAAGACAAUGAAGGAACAAAAGCAAUGGUCUGACAGGAAGGAUCCUGUUUUUUUUGUUGUUGUUGUUGCUCAUGAGCUGCACUGUCAAAUAUCUGUAUUUGUGCUGGUUGUGUCUUGAAAAGGUCUUGGGGCCAGCUGUGCAAGAAUGCAUGCACUUGACCAAAACAAAACUCAGUAACAACCGAACAAGUGUUUCUCUUAUUUCAAAGGCCAAGCGCUUGGCUUUAGAAGGAAAAGGGAGUCCUGUGAAUUGCUUCCCUUCGAGCACUAUUUGUCUGUCCCCAUAAUAUGCUACUUCUGCCUGAUGUGGGCAGGCCUAUUGUCUAUCAUUAAGAAAUCAGCUGUUUUUUAAGAGAAUGACAGGUGGAUAUAAGCAGGCACCUCAAAUCUAGGUGUCUGGUCAUUUCUGUAGUGCUCACAUAAACAGUUUAGGAAUUCAUAAGUAUGUUAUUCAUAAGACACUCUCUUGUAGGUAGUUAAAAUGUUUGGUGCUGUAGGAAUAAAGAAAAUCAAGAGCUUUCACCAACUCCCUUGCCCCGAUACAUUUGAGAGAUAUUUUAUUGUUAAAAGAACAAAGGCUUGUUGUCUGCCUGGCCAGUUUGAAUUAACGUGGUGAUUGAUUUUUUUUUUAAAUGAAAUUUGUAUUGAACGUGGAAGAAAAUAGAUUUACUUAAAAGCACACGCACAAGGAUGCAUCUGAAUUUGUACUGUUAGUAUUUUCACUACACUGCUGUGGUCGUUCCUUAUUGUUCCAUUUUAGAUUCAGUUCCCUCCAUUCCGAAUAUAUUUAUGAAGCAUUUUCUAGGUGCCAGACACAUAGACACUAGGAAGAUGAAUAUCCGGGUCCUUGAUUUUAAGAUGUGCACAGAUCUGUUUUCCAAAUUAAUGAUCUAAUUUCCAUUACUAUCAUUCACAAAUAAUGUUCAUACCCAUAGUUCUACCUUUUGUUAAACCUCUCCAACUUAUAAAGGAUCUCAUUUGUACAACCCUGUUUAUCCUUCCAUUCCAUAAGCACAGAAGGGAUGCUUGCCCUGGAUCCCUUGCCCAUUCAUCCUCGCGGCUGCUUCUGUUCUUUCUAGGGCUCUCCGGUUCAAAGGUGUACAUCUUAGAUUUAGGGAUUCACUUAGAUUACUCUCAUGCUAACAGUCUGGAAUUCCCGUGAAAUAGUUCAAGAAAAAAUUAAUAAAUUGUAUUAUGUAGAAAAACUUCUGUGUGCGUGUAUAAACAUAAGCAAAGUGAAAAAGACAGAAGACAUACUGGGAAAAAUGUUUUCAACUUAUAUGGAAUAUAAAAAGCUAGCUCCCAAAUAUAUAUAUAUUUAAAACCCUGUUGAAAAUAACAAAAAGGAUAAAAAUACCUAUAGCAAGAAAUGGGAGAAUGGCACUGAUAGACAAUUUACCAUCAAGAUAUACAAAUGCUUUACAUCUAUGAAGUGUUCAACCUCACUCAUGCUCACACAUGUCAAUUUUAACUGCACUGACGUGCCAUCUCUUAGCUAUCAGAUGGGAAGUACUCAGAGGUUCAAUAAAUAUUCUGUUUGAGA
Molecule: non-coding RNA, 10520 nt
Organism: Chlorocebus sabaeus (green monkey)
Lineage: Eukaryota; Metazoa; Chordata; Mammalia; Primates; Cercopithecidae
Source: RefSeq, a predicted model, not a curated record